CCUUGCAGCAUGGUGACUAGGUUCUAAAAGUAAGCAUGCCCAAAGGGAAAGCCUAGGUGGAAGCCAUAUUGCCUUUAUGACUUAGCCUUAGAUGUCAUUCAAUGUCACUCAUGAUAUGCAUUCUAUUUACUGAGGCUGUCAUAAAGCCCUGCCCAGCUUCAUCAGAGGGAGAGAUAGACUGCCUUUUGAGCAGGGCUAGCAAGUUUAUAGAAGGACAUGUAGGAAUGAAAAUAUCGUGGUAGUUCAUGUGGAAAACGUGGUCUGCCACAGGUGCUAAGGCAGCCAUGCGGGGUGCCGCCACAUGGGUUAUAUGCAUGAAGAAGAGUCAAAGAUGGCUUUAGAGGGAAAGGGGCUAUUGAAUAGAGCAGAUAAACCAGGGAGUGAAGAAAACACCAUUUGGCCAGAGAGUCAGGGUGUUGCAGGUUGGGUUCUCUAAAGGAGACCCUCAGAGUUUGGAGUACAAGGUGUUUAUGAAGGAAUAGCAUCUGUGAAAGGGAGAGGAAGCAAGGUGAAAAGAAGCUGACCUGCGAUAGAGGUCCAACCAAGCUUUAGCCAACACAAUGGGUCCUGUGUUUACCUCUCAGUGUUGUCCCUUGUCAGUCUGAGUGACUGGGCCUUUAUGUGCUGCCUAGUUUACUCAUGGACUGUGGACCACUCCAGCAAGGCCAGGACCUUGGAGGGGGCUGACCUCUAUAGUUAUGGCAGGCCCUCUGAGGAGUGGUGAGCUGGAAGCUGCCUGCUGACGGAAUUCUCCUAGGGCCAGCUCUGUAGAAAGUGGAACACAGCUCACUUGUUGAGAGCUUCUUAUCAGAUACAGACCCAGACAGACACAGUCUGGCUUAGCUGUUCAUGUGAUUUAUUCACCCUGUUCUGAAAAAAGCACCAGGUGAUAUCUGAGCUAUGGCAGCAGCCAGCUGGCUCCCAACACAUUCCAGGUAUAAAAAUAGUUCAUAAGCAGCACCGAGUUCCAAUAAUUCUGACUUCAGUCUCUAGAAACUCCAAAAUGGCCUGGAAAAUGCUGGCAAACCCAGUUUCUGCCAUGAGCCUCCAGGGUCUCUCUUUGCAAGGUACAGCAGUGCUACUGGAAGCAGAUCGCUGAGUGCACAAAGGACACAAAUACUAGGCAAUUCUGGCCAUCAGACUCUUGCUCUUCUCCCAAAAGUCAGAGUAGCAUAAAUUUGGAUGACACACAAUAUUGGGGUUGCACAAACCAGGAUUUAAUUUCUGUAUCUGCUGUGUACUGACCAUUAAACUUAGCCUUACUUAGUAGGUUUCCCUGCCCUAAAAGUAUAUCCAAAAUCUAUCUUACAGGCUUAGUGUGAACCCUGAAAAGAUAAUAUAAAGCAUUUAAGCACAAUGCCAGGCAUGUCCUUAAUGAAUAUUAUCAGCAUCAAAGAAAAACAAACUCUCCAUUAUCAAGCCUCUGCUCUGUUCCAGGAACUGUGAUAACAUAACAGAACUAUCAACGUGUGCUUCUGACCUCAAGGAAUUUUGGUAUAGUAGGAAAAAAAAAAAAGUACUGUUCUAAUAUAAUAUAAACUUUCAUACUGCAGCUAAAUGCCCUUGGACAAGUAAUUUCACUUUGUGGGUCUCCAUGUCCUAUAAAGUGGAGAGAAUUCUGCUCAAUUUACAGACUCAUGUUGAUGACUGGAGAUGAUGAUGUAUGAUAAGGUGUCCAGCACGUAGUAAGAGAUACACUAUGACCUCCAUUCUGGACUACUGGCCUUCACCAUUCUGUGGGCUGCUGCUCACCAAAGAUGAUGGCCAAGCACUUCAUUUGAAGCCUCGGGAAUUUGCUAGCCUCUUCAGCCAUUUGGCCUGCUUCAAACUUUAUGGGACAUAUUAAGUCAGACGUUCAAAACACUAGAGGCCCACGAGCCAGGAAACUCCAGGCUCAGGACGGUGCUUUGCCACUGCGAGUUUCACCAUUCUAGUGUCCCCAUUUUUUGGGGAGCGGGGAGGGACAAGGAGAUUUGGAGCUAGGCAGCUGGCGCUUAUGGUAUGGACUCUGCUCUUCGUGUGUGAAAUCUAACAGACGUGCCUCAGUUGGAGGCCUCCGUUUCACUUGUGCCAAGGGUCUAGGCUCUACCUCCUUCAUAGAGCAUUGUGCCAUUCAAUGAGGUAGUGUAUGUACAGAUUUAAUCCCGUGUCUAGCUCAGGGAUUCAUAAGUGUUUGCUGUUAAGUAUUUUUAUAACUCAACACAUAGGCAGCACAUAUUCAAGAUGGAGCUGAGUUGAAGAAAUUAGCGUUCAGUGAAUUUACUCUGUUGUUUUCUAUUUGCACUCUGACUGCCUGACACACGGGAAGUGCUCCAUGCCUGUUGGUCCUGUGGCCUUCCAGACAAAUGUCACUUUCAAUCCAGGAGACAUUCAUCAGGGACCUCACGGUAGCAGAGCCAGAAACUGAACCUCAGCGUGCCUGACUCCAGAAUCUACACUCUUCCUACUACACCAGGAGAAGUCACUGUCACUCUUCUACACAAGUGCAGAAGCCACGGAGGUGGGCCAGCCAGUUGUCCAAGCGUCCAUAUCCCUCUCUCCUUGUUCUUGCUUGAAACUUGAUUUUGGAACUGCGGUCUCCCAUGACAGAUGUCACUAAUCGAUUAUGAGCCUCUUUCAGGCUGAACC
Long non-coding RNA from Hyaena hyaena (striped hyena), 2628 nucleotides. RefSeq lists it as uncharacterized. NCBI's taxonomy places the organism in Eukaryota, Metazoa, Chordata, Mammalia, Carnivora, Hyaenidae. The transcript has 5 exons. The record is from RefSeq and is a predicted model, not a curated record.